UCCAAUUUAUACAGACUUGGGAGGAAAGCAUUUGUAUGGAAAGAAAGGAAUGGCUCCAAAGGUUUCAUUCCUGGGCUCCUUAGCCAAAACUUUGGCACAGUGGCGUCAACCUAAGAAAUUCGAUAGCUAGGAUAGAGAGUUUGUUCACAAGAACUGCUAAUUAUUGAUUAUGUGUUCCCAUUUGGGGAUCUCAUGGGGAAGGGCCAUAGAGCAUAG
This 216-nucleotide unclassified non-coding RNA is filed under the name Hevea brasiliensis (rubber tree). The record is from RNAcentral. Lineage: Eukaryota; Viridiplantae; Streptophyta; Magnoliopsida; Malpighiales; Euphorbiaceae.